RNAcentral lists this ribosomal RNA (484 nucleotides) under uncultured bacterium. RNAcentral's name for it is "partial 16S ribosomal RNA". It matches the Rfam family "Bacterial small subunit ribosomal RNA", at positions 28 to 523 of the family's 1533-position model. The record is from RNAcentral.
GACGAACGCUGGCGGCGUGCUUAACACAUGCAAGUCGAACGGAAAGGCCCUGCUUUUGUGGGGUGCUCGAGUGGCGAACGGGUGAGUAACACGUGAGUAACCUGCCCUUGACUUUGGGAUAACUUCAGGAAACUGGGGCUAAUACCGGAUAGGAGCUCCUGCUGCAUGGUGGGGGUUGGAAAGUUUCGGCGGUUGGGGAUGGACUCGCGGCUUAUCAGCUUGUUGGUGGGGUAGUGGCUUACCAAGGCUUUGACGGGUAGCCGGCCUGAGAGGGUGACCGGCCACAUUGGGACUGAGAUACGGCCCAGACUCCUACGGGAGGCAGCAGUGGGGAAUAUUGCACAAUGGGCGGAAGCCUGAUGCAGCAACGCCGCGUGCGGGAUGACGGCCUUCGGGUUGUAAACCGCUUUCGCCUGUGACGAAGCGUGAGUGACGGUAAUGGGUAAAGAAGCACCGGCUAACUACGUGCCAGCCGCCGCCGUAA